AACUUAGCAAGGUUUCAAGAUGGUAACAGCCGGUAAUAACCCAGCCUCUGCCCCCCUGGACCUUACUGCCCGUCCUCAGGCAUCGGUCAGGCUCUCGAACCCUACAUUCCCUGAUCAGUUUCUUUGGACUCUACAACUCAGUGAAUAUAGAAGGGUGCCCACAGGAUUCCCCAAAUAAAGUGGAGCGGGUUCACAUGUGCUCUUCUCUUGCCAGGUUCAACAGUGGGUAAAACCCCACCUGCAGGGUCUGUGAAUGUCACAGAAGGGUCCCUAAAGAUCUUUCGCAGAGUCUUCUUCCUCCUGGUUCUGCUUUUCAAACCUGCAUGCUGACCCCACGACUUGUUUAUACCAACAACUCAUCUCUGUUUUGGAAGAGACCUUACUUAUCUCUUCCCCACCUAUUUGUCACACUGAGAUGGAGGCCCAGAACCUACUCCCUACUAGAGCAGGAGACUGAGAGCUCUGUCCCUUCCUCCUUGCACUGGGGGCUUGGAGCCUGGAAAGAAGGAGAAGCCUUGAUGUCCUCAGAGCUCGGGAUCCAGGUAGAAAACCACAGCUCCUCCUCAGGCCCAGACCCUAUCUACCCCAGCCCUCUUGCUUUUAGUAGCGUAUCCCGAGGUUGUUGGUGUUUCUCAGUUGUCCUUGGUAUUCCCAUUCUCCUCAGGGCUCCUCUUGACCCCUGGUACUCUUCAGUGGUCCUCUUCUGACUGGUCAAACCCUCUCAGACACAGCACUUCAGGCCACUCGGAGAAGAAACCAGCUUUCUGAGAACUGCACAGAUACUAAACAGACGGGAGCCAGUUGAACCUAGAAAGAAGAGUGGCCUCUGACCCAGUGAAAACAAGGUAAGAUGUCCUGACUAAAAGCCACUGGCUAUGACUCCCUCCUGUAGGAGCAAGGGAGAAGGAAGACAUCAGCUAGCCAUCCAUCCUCCAUACCAGAGCUGCCCUGGUUCUUGGGUGCUGGGCUGCCAAGAGGUUCACUGUCUUUGUUCACUGAG
RNAcentral lists this long non-coding RNA (1000 nucleotides) under Rattus norvegicus (Norway rat). RNAcentral's name for it is "long non-coding RNA NONRATT032498". Lineage: Eukaryota; Metazoa; Chordata; Mammalia; Rodentia; Muridae. The record is from RNAcentral.